This is a non-coding RNA of Podarcis lilfordi (Lilford's wall lizard), 7523 nucleotides long. The record is from the annotation of a GenBank genome assembly. NCBI's taxonomy places the organism in Eukaryota, Metazoa, Chordata, Lepidosauria, Squamata, Lacertidae.
GUCGCCCGCAGAAGACGGCGGUGAAUGGGACCGUGGUUCCCUUCUUGCCCGGCGGCUGGUUCGCGGCAUCGCCGCCUGACCCGCAGGGAAGGGAAGGGAAGGGGGUCGUCGGAAUGCGGAAAGUAGAGCUUGUAAGCGUCAGGAGUCGGAGGGCGGGAGGUAGGGAUGGGUGCCUUGGAAGGUUGUUUCUCUGCUUCGACCUUUCUGGAUUUGGGGAUCCGACUGCCCCAGGGUGUCCAUCUGAAGACAGGAGUUCAUCCCUUUACUCUAGCGCACGUGUGCGCGUGUCGUAGCCGGACGAACUGACAUCCUCUAUCUUUUCCAAACCUCUUAUUUUGAGGAUGCUGUGACGAUUCUAUCUAUGAUCAAGUUGUGAUUUUGUGGGUGGGUGGGGUGUAUUUUUAAAUGCUUCAAGAGCUGUCCAGAUACUUCCGUCGCUUUCACCCUCCCGCCGCGCCCCUUCAUCUGCCGCCCUCCUGGCAUUGUCCCAUGAAUCAUACGCGUGAAGGAGCCUCUGUGGAACAGGCAGCGCCCACGUCGGAAUGCCGAUGUGAGCCAGGGAAGUGGGCAGCAGAAGAAGGAUGGGUGAGACGAGGAAAGCUGCUUUUCUCCCCCCACUGCUGACCUUUCAAAAAUAUGUCCCAAACCGAAUAUCAGCUUCAGAAUUGCAUGAGGUCAUUUAUUCUUUAUGGCAGCGCUGAUUAACCGCUUUCCCUAUUAAUUUGUACAUAUUUAAAGUUAUGGACAAAUGCCUGUUUGUAAUAAACAGGAAUAAACGUUUAUUUCAGACUGUGCUUGUGCCACGCUCGCAGCUGGCCCUUGUACUGCUAGAGAUCAAUAUCAAAUAUCGAUGGUUGCUUACGUGAGAAGGAAACAAGGUUCACGGGACUCAGUCGAGUUUACUCCCGUGUAAACAUGGAUGGUUUCCUUAAAGUCAGUGGGUAGGAUCCAGACUUGGUCCCGUUUAGGAUAGGCCCACUGAAAUCAAUGGGUCUACUCUAAACAUGUCGGUGUUCAGCAUCACCGCUCAAUACAGGUUGGCAUUUUAAGGCUACUGAAUGAAGCUCAACCUUACUUUACCUCCCCUACCCCACCCCCCACCAGCCAGCCCCAUAACACCUACAAAUUAUGGGUCGUUUGGAAAGCCAUUUGUGUAAAUAGGAGGCGGGGCUCAGCCAUCGGCGCUGAAUCGCCUUUGCCUGGAGGGAGAGACAUAAAUCCGAUUUAAAAUACACAGUUGCAACAAUGCCGCGAUAAAUCGCCGCGAUUAGGUUGGCCGAGGGUGUUAAAUGAGGCGAACAGAAAAUUUACUUUUCCGGACUUGCGAACUAGGCGAGUCUUAAAUGGGCCGGGCGCUUUUCAUUAAGGCGAGUGAAUAUUUCAGAUUUCCCAGCUCAGUCCUCUGUGUGCCUAUCUGCUCAAAAGUAAAUCGCGUUGAGGUUAAUGGGAUUGCCUGAGACUGCAAUCUCAGACAUACUUACCUGAGAGUAAACCCCACUAGACACAAAUGUUUUGCUAGUAAUAGAACUGAGAUGCAUCCCGCGGGACUUCUGCAUAACCAUCAACAAAGGAUUGUGAGGUUUUAUCUCAUGGGCGGAAGAGCUACAAACUUUCUCUGAGCGACAGAGUGCUUAAACCUCCCUCUUCAAAUAUUGCGCCUUGAUCGAUUUCUCUGGUAAGUGGAGAAGUUGAUUCCACACCCAAAAACUUCGGUAGGAGGGAGGGGGUUGUCCUGUGUCGUGACUAGGAAAGAAGUCCCCAAAAAUGGUCCUCAGAGAAAGCUGCAAUGCUAAACCUACUGCUCUCGGGCUGGGGCUGGCCUUGAUCCCCCGGCUCAGCUAGGACGUGAAUUGCAGGGUCUGGGUGUUAAUGGUGCGCUUAUCCAUCAAGGUCUGCAUGACGGCGCUGUUAGCAACUAAUUAGCAAACACAAAGGGAGAGCGCAUCAGAGCUGGGGAGAAGGGCGGCGGCUCCAGGCUGCCGGCUCGAAUCCAGUCCUCGGAGAAAAAGGGCUGGCAGAGUGUGGAGCCGCUCAUGUCACCCACACAAAAGAAAGUGGCGUUGAAACUGUCAGUUGCCACCAGCCGGGAAGAUUUGCGGGCAGCAGAAUCAAUUAAUUUCACCUCCUGGGUUUUGGUCUUCGGUGGAAAGGCUCCUGGCAAGGGAGGAAAACAGCGCCAUCAGCAAUGCAUUCCUCUCUUCAAUUUUUAUAAAUUGUGGCUAUUAUUAUUUUUAUCAGUUGUGGCUACUAUUUUUUUAUGAAUUCAGGUAGUCUCCGCAGAGAAGCUCACCAACCUCCCCCUUACAAUAUUUUCCAUACUAGGUUAAGACUUGAUUAUCCACCCAGGCUUUUUAAACCUUUCUUUUAAAACAAACCAUGGGCCUUUGAAGGUGGUUUAAAUAAACUUUAUAGCUACCAUUUAUUAUUAUAUAUUAUAUUAUGUUAUGUUAUGUUUUAUGUUAUGUUGUUAUGUUAUGUUAUGAUGUUAUAUUAUUAAUGUAAUAUAAUAUAAAAUAGGCUUCUAUCACUGAAGGUGAAACCCACAAGAACCCCACAAGAUUCAUCAGAAGUGUGAACUGUGGAUGCACAAGUCAUUCAUGCCUUCACUUUUGCCACUUUGAUGUAACCUCCAAAGUUAAGCUUAGGUAAAGGAGACUCUGGACUCCCCCCGCCCCCCGCCCCCGCGCUUUGUACUCUGCUGCCUCCAUGCUAAAUAUGUUUGUGUGCAUAUGUCCUGUUGAUUUUGAGAAAGUGUAUUUAGCCUCACCAUAAAGAUCCCCUAAUGACUUGGGAAGAAACCCUGUUUAUUUCUGCUGGACUUGCUUCCAAGCAAAAAAGUGUGUCUGGGAUGAGACUACGCAAUUUGGGAGUUGAUUUAAUCUACAUCAGCAGGGUUGAGUUCUGUGUGGUUUUACAAUUAAGGCUGAAUUUGACUUCUUUGAGAAAGUCAUAAACCUAUAUUUGUUUUCAAGGACAAGGAGAAAUGUAUGAAAGGCACAUAUGUGUGGUCUACCAUACAGAACACAGACACUUAUUUGUAUGUAUAGAGAUAAAUAAAAUGAAUGGAGAUUUACAGUGAGGAGACAGUGACUUAUCUGUCUGUAUAGAAAUAUUUGGGAAUGACUGACUCAUUGACUCACUCAGGGGAAUAACAAGAUUUUAUUAUUAUUACUUUUUAAGGCAGCUGUGUUGGCCCAUAAGCCAGGGGGGGCCUCUAAAAUCCAUAGCUGGACAAUGUACCUGUGCAUGCUCACAGCCGGACCAAACAAAAUGUAACAAAAUGGUGCACAAGCUGUCAAGUGUGCCAUAAUUUUUUCCAUUGGGCUAGAGACAUUACCCAAAGCAGGAGUUAAGGGGAAUAAGGGAAAGGGGGUUACAAAAAUCAGGCAGGAUGUUGAAGCCUUGAGGUCUGCAAUUAGACUGGAUUAAUCUUUACUGCAUGCUUGCCCAUAUCUGGUUAAACCUAGGAUUACCAUAUUUUUCACUCUAUAAGACGCACCAGACCUCAAGAUGCACCUAGUUUUUGGAGGAGGAAAACAAGAAAAAAAAUAUUCUGAAUCUCAGAAGCCAGAACAGCAAGAGGGAUUGCUGCGCAUGCGCAGCAAUCCCUCUUGCUGUUCUGGCUUCUGGGAUAGCUGCGCAGCCUGCAUUCGCUCCAUAAGACGCACACACAUUUCCCCUUACUUUUUAGGAGGGAACAAGUGAGUCUUAUAUAGCCGAAAAUACGGUAUUUUUGGACAGUAAUGGAUUGUCAGAAGCUGUAGGUGGUGCAGAAUGCAGUGGCCUGACAGCUAGUAGGAGCAUCUGGCUGAGAACAUGGGACACCAUUUUUACAGCAUCUAUACUGGCCGCCCACCUACUACCAAGCUGGGCUCAAGGUUCUCCUAUUAAGUUAUAAAACCCUGAGCAACUUAGGUCCAGAAUACGUCAGGGACAGCCUGAGCAUUUAUAUCCCAGCUCAGUCACUGAGAUCAUCUGCAGAAGUGUCGUUGCUCAUUCCCCAAGUUGGCAAGGGCCAUUUGACAAUAACAAGCAACUGAGCAUUUAGUGUCAUCGACCGAGUAUUGUGGAAUACUCUGCCAUACUCAGAGGAGACCAAUAAAGCCUACUUAGGUGGCACUUAGGUGGCUACACAGCCCAAUCAUUCUCUAAAAUAGUGUAUAUAUACAAUGCAUAUUAUUAUUAUGUAUUCCUCCAAGGAGCUCAAGUGAUCACCAUGGGUCUUCCCCCGCCCACUCAAUUUUAUUGCCAAAACAGCCCUGUGCGGUAGGACUGACUACCAGGGUUUCACAAAUUUCGUUCUCCAACAGUUUUUGUACUACAAUUCCCAUCAUCCCUGACAACUGAUCCUGCUCGCUAGAGAUGAUGUAGUCCAAAAACAGCCAGAGACCCAAGUUUGGGAAACCUUUGGCUAGCCUAAAAUAAGCCAGUGAGCUUCAUGAUUGGGUGGGGAUCUAUGCCUGGGUUGAUACAGUCUUUGUCCAUCACGUUAACCAUCGCACCACAUAUUUUAUCAAUUUGAUAUAGCACAUGUACCAGAAAACUCACUGCGCCUGUUUUCUGGUAGGAUCCACAUCUCAUCCAAGACUCCAGAGCCACAGUGAAAUUCUAGUGACAAGCUGAGGAUGCCAAGAGUGAAUCUGAAUCUGAACUCCCAUCAACAAUAUGUUCCUGAUUUAAAUGUAAUAUUCUUUUAAUUGGACGGCAUGUAAACCAUGAAGCGGUAAUUAAAAGAGGGUGGGAAUCUGGUAGAUAACUUGCAGAGAGAAUCUGAAAGGCAAGCGGGCAGACUCAUCCAAGACCCUCAGGGUUUCCCCCCCCCCCCACCUCAGCCUUUUCUAACUUUAAUAACUUCAAGUCUCCAAAUAGUAUUUUUUUUUAAUGAAGCACUCAUGGAUGAUACACUCAAUAUGCUACGUAUUAAUUAGACAAACAUGAAGGUUUUAGAUUACACAUGCAGAGCCCUCAGAAGAGGCUGCCGAUCUCCCCCUUGCCGUAUUUCCUUUUCAUUAUCCUUCUCUCUGAUGCCUGAAUUUAAGCACUCUUGAUCAAACUCUCAGUGAACUAGGCCACUGGUUCCCAGACUUUUUUGGGCCACUGCCCCCUUGGUCCCAUAAACUCAUCCCCAGUGCCCCCUACCCCUGUUUACAAAACAUGGUUCAGAGUAGCACUUUUCACAGCCCACUAAGGAAGAUAGCAACACAAUAAAAUCCAAAGCAGGAACAAUUAAUUGCAACUUUAUUCAAAAUCCACUUUAAACUAUUUCCUUUAAUCAAUUCAACAAAACUGAUGAACUUAGCAGCUUUUUCAAAGUCUGAUAAUCAUUGACACCCCCAGAGCCGCCCCCCCCCACUCCUUGCUUCUUAGCACCCCCUAGGUAAUCCAACCACGCCCUUCAUGGGGCAAUACCAUCAAUUUUGGGAGCCACUGAACUAGAUGUUUGAGAGUCGGUGCCAUCCCAAUGUCUUUAAAUUGAGUUUCAAACAUAAAUGGGAGGUUAAAUGUGAAAAUGCCAGAGAAACAGCUAUACAGUUAAGUUGGUCCUGAGACCUUGUGCUAGGAAUGGAAAGGAACAAUCAGGUUACACAAAUUAAAUAGGUUAAAAAAAAAAGGUAAAGGACCCCUGGACGGUUAGGUCCAAUCAAAGGCGACUAGGGGUUUGCAGCGCUCAUCUCGCUUUCAGGCCAAGGGAGCUGGCGUUUGUCUGCAGACAGCUUUCGGGUCAUGUAGCCAGCAUGACUAAACCGCUUCUGGUGCAACGGGACACCAUGACAGAAACCAGAGUGCAUGGAAAUGCUGUUUACCUUCCCGCCACGGCGGUACCUAUUUAUCUACUUGCACUGGCAUGCUUUUGAACUGCUAGGUUGGCAGGAGCUGGGACAGAACAAUGGGGGCUCAGCCCGUUGUGGGGAUUCAAACCACGGACAUUCUGGUCUGAGCCCAAGAGGCUCAGUGGUUUAGACCACAGCGCCACCCGCAUCCCAUUACAAAUUAAAUAUCAGCAGCCCAGAGUGAGGAUAAUACAUCAGCAUUAAAGGGCUCCCAUCUGAGAGACUUAACAACCCAGUCAUAUGUCAGUGGUCCCAAUGAGUACAGACUGCACAUCUCAUGGUGCUCCAAAACCAUCCUUGUGACAGAUGGAAGGAGGGAGACGCUUGCAUGAUACGAGGGAGAGCAGAAAUGGACACAAGAGGCUCAAAGAGGACCAAGACACAUUGAGCUGUCAAGCCCAAGAGUCUACCAAUAACACGCCACCUGCUGGUGUUCGAUGUGGCCAGCAUUUUCCAAAGCAAAAUGCCAAGCCACCCAUCUUCUGUGACCCUCAAGAGUGGUCAGGCAAAUUUUGGGGGUUCAGGCUCCUGCUGCAGUUUAUCUGCCACACGCACAAGACAGCUUUCUGUUGCUUUGCCAAGUUUAACAGGGCAGCUCCUGUUCUCUGGAACUCCCAGCCUAUUGAAUCCUAGAAUUGUAGAGUUGGAAGGGAUCCUGAGACUCAUCUUGUCCAACCCAGUGCAAUGCUUCAUUGUACUGUUUUCAGCACUUGCUAUAUAUAUAUAUAUAUAUAUAUAUAUAUAUAUAUAUAUAUAUAUACAACCCUGCCCAAACAUGCAAUAUUAUUAUGUACUUAUGCUUUUUACCAUCUGCUGCACUAUUUGAUAUUGAGUCUCCACCCCACUUGGAAGAAAGGUGUUCAUUGGUUAGAAAGAUCCCAAGACUGUUAAUGUUGUUAACACAGGUGGACUCUGUGAUGAGUCCUUGCCUGUCAGAAUACCACAUUCACACCAUACUUUUAAAGCACUUUAAGCAGUCCUGGCUCCCCCCCCCCCAAGUGUCCUGGGAAUUGUAGUUUGCUAAGAGUGCCAAGGAGUUGUUAAGAGACUCCUAUUCCCCUCCCAGAGCUACAAUUCCCAGCAUUCCCUGUGGAGAGGAAUUGACUGUUAAACCACUUUGGGAAAUGUAGCUGUGUAAGGGGAAUAGGUGUCUCCUAGCAACUCUCAGCACCCUUCGCAAACUACAUCUCCCAAGAUUCUCUAGGGGAAGCCAGGACUAUUUAAAAGGGGCAUCAUAGCACUUUAAAUGUACAGGGCGGAGGGCUUUCUCAGUAGUAGCGGAACACCCUCCCAUCAGAUGUCAAGGCGAUAAAGAACUACACAACUUUUAGAAGACAUCUGAUGGCAUCCCUGUAUCAGGAAGUUUUUAAUGUUUGAUGUUUCAUUAUGUUUUUAUAUGUGCUGGAAGUCACCCAGAGUGGCUGGAGAAACACAGCCAGAUGGGCGGAGUAUCAUCAUCAUCAUCAUCAUCAAAGGCAGUUUCCUGUGUUGCAGGACAGAAAGUGGAAGAGGGAAAUAUAUAAAAGAAUAUAAAAGAAGAAUAUGCUUCUUAGCAGAUGUGUGUAACAUCCACGUUACCAAGAGCUGGCAGAUGCAAAAAUAAACAAACAAAAUCAGUUUUGAGUUCCACAUGCAACAACACCCUGACAAUCUUGUUAAAUCCCUUCCAGGAGACAAGUUGUUGCAACAGAG